UCGUGAGGCUCCGGCCUCUUCGAGGGAGAAUCCUUGCCUUUUCGAGCACCUGUUUGUUUCCUCGGCAGGCUCGCCUGCCAAUGGGGACCAUUUAAACUCUUGCAAAUAACCUGAAAUAAAUCGUCUGAAUGAAUGUAAUAAAUCA
RNAcentral lists this unclassified non-coding RNA (145 nucleotides) under uncultured Ascomycota. Its description in RNAcentral is "sequence contains ITS1". The record is from RNAcentral. Lineage: Eukaryota; Fungi; Ascomycota.